UACGAAGGGGGCUAGCGUUGCUCGGAAUCACUGGGCGUAAAGGGUGCGUAGGCGGGUCUUUAAGUCAGGGGUGAAAGCCCAAGGCUCAACCUUGGAAUUGCCUUUGAUACUGAGGGCCUUGAGACCGGAAGAGGUCGGCGGAACUGCGAGUGUAGAGGUGAAAUUCGUAGAUAUUCGCAAGAACACCAGUGGCGAAGGCGGCCGACUGGUCCGGUUCUGACGCUGAGGCGCGAAAGCGUGGGGAGCAAACAGG
This 253-nucleotide ribosomal RNA is filed under the name uncultured bacterium. Its description in RNAcentral is "partial 16S ribosomal RNA". It matches the Rfam family "Bacterial small subunit ribosomal RNA", at positions 524 to 776 of the family's 1533-position model. The record is from RNAcentral.